CACGCCCGUCACACCAUGGGAGUUGAUUGCACCAGAAGCAGGUAGCCUAACCGCAAGGAGGGCGCCUACCACGGUGUGGUCAAUGACUGGGGUG
Molecule: ribosomal RNA, 94 nt
Filed under: uncultured bacterium
Lineage: Bacteria
Description: partial 16S ribosomal RNA
Rfam family: Bacterial small subunit ribosomal RNA
Source: RNAcentral